CGCACGCUGGCGGCGUGCUUCACACAUGCACGUCGCACGGAAAGGCCCUGCUUUUGUGGGGUGCUCGAGUGGCGAACGGGUGAGUAACACGUGAGUAACCUGCCCUUGACUUUGGGAUAACUUCAGGAAACUGGGGCUAAUACCGGAUAGGAGCUCCUGCUGCAUGGUGGGGGUUGGAAAGUUUCGGCGGUUGGGGAUGGACUCGCGGCUUAUCAGCUUGUUGGUGGGGUAGUGGCUUACCAAGGCUUUGACGGGUAGCCGGCCUGAGAGGGUGACCGGCCACAUUGGGACUGAGAUACGGCCCAGACUCCUACGGGAGGCAGCAGUGGGGAAUAUUGCACAAUGGGCGGAAGCCUGAUGCAGCAACGCCGCGUGCGGGAUGACGGCCUUCGGGUUGUAAACCGCUUUCGCCUGUGACGAAGCGUGAGUGACGGUAAUGGGUAAAGAAGCACCGGCUAACUACGUG
Molecule: ribosomal RNA, 466 nt
Filed under: uncultured bacterium
Lineage: Bacteria
Description: partial 16S ribosomal RNA
Rfam family: Bacterial small subunit ribosomal RNA
Source: RNAcentral